AACUCAUCGUAUUUCAAUUGCUCCACGUGGAAGUUCUGGUGUUCAGGAAGUAACUAACGGCUGCCGCUGUUGUUCUGGGGCCUCUCGGUCUCUGUCCAUAAAGGUUUCCAGCUCUUCAAAAUAUCCGAACUUGAGUUUCUCCAUCUGUGUUUCACGCAGGAGAGCUACCAGAGAUUUCACCUCUCUCCCGCAGUGACCAGGUGCUCAGCUUUGGUAGCAGCUGAGGCAAGAGCAGCAGCUGGAGCCGUGGUAACGGUUUCCCUCAGAAAUCUCCUGUUGCACUUUCUUCUCCCGAGGACCACGCUCUCUUUCUUUACAUGCAUCAGACUCUCACUGGAUCUUGACGUAUCCCAGCAAAUUCUUCCACUAUCUCCUAGCCCGUGGCCAGCCCAUCCUCCACACAACUCUGAAGUCAAAUGUCUUAAAGCAAUCUGGAGCAAGUUACUCCUCUGUGUAAAACUCUAGAAGCCUUCUCCCUGGGCACCAGGAAGUCGGGAUAAUCAGGGUGGAAAAGCCCAUCUGUUUGACUUCUCUCCAGCUGCUGCAGAUCCUGAAGGGAAGCUGGAGUAUCUUCUCCUGUGUGUCGUCUUAGUCAGCCUGGACUGUGAGAAAGCGACAGAAGCGGACGAGCUGAGGGGCAGGGUCUCCAACGUGGGUUAUACUUGGUACAUGAUGAGGCACCCCCACUGUGCUUAAAUAGACCUGAUGCAAAUGCUGAAGCACGCUGGUGUGUGCUUGUGGGGUAAAGUCACUGUGGGGUAGGAUGCAGGGACAGAGAGACCCAGGUGAAUACGACGCUUGACCCUUUAAGAGCUUAAAAUAAUAAAGGGACCAGAAACAUUAUAUAGCUGUAUUAUUUUACCUUUUCCCCGCCUUGGAG
Molecule: non-coding RNA, 880 nt
Organism: Peromyscus maniculatus bairdii (prairie deer mouse)
Lineage: Eukaryota; Metazoa; Chordata; Mammalia; Rodentia; Cricetidae
Source: RefSeq, a predicted model, not a curated record